UUCAUUCGGGUUUUAUAACCCUUUACAUUUUAUUUUUAUAUAAUUUCUGUCUUGUCCGAUUGCAGGAGAUGGGCAAACGGUGGAGGUGACUUCAGACGGCAUGGGCAAUGGCUAAGUUGUCAGAGGCGUGCAUAGCAGAGUAUGGGGCUAGGGUUUUUUUUUUAUUUUUUUGUUUCUUUUGAUGUUGGGUUACUUUAGUUAUUGGGCUGGUGGUAUUUUGGGUUUGAC
Molecule: long non-coding RNA, 228 nt
Filed under: Gossypium barbadense (sea-island cotton)
Lineage: Eukaryota; Viridiplantae; Streptophyta; Magnoliopsida; Malvales; Malvaceae
Description: long non-coding RNA (GBAR_LNC010151)
Source: RNAcentral